GGGGAUGGACCUCCAGAUUUCCUUACUGGAAAACAAGCUCAGGGCUCCCACUGAUUGUACAUUAUGGUGAGACGUGGUCUUGUAACACAGUGGUUAAGAAUGUGACUUUGGAGCCAGCCUGCUAGGGGCUGAAUUCUGACUCAGCCAUUUACUAACUGUGUGACCUUAGGUCACAGAAUUUUCCACACUCCUUGACAGAGGUGCUUAACCCUUAUCCAUCAGCAUUCUCAGACAGCACCUCCGGUUAGGGACAGUAUCUGACCGUCCGACAUCCCUGCAGCCCCCAUGUGUCACACAGACUCAGCCUCAGGUAGAUGGUUUCCGUAGAUGGUGGCUUUCUUUGGACCCUUGACAUCAACCAGUUACUAUUUGACUCUUCUGCAGAACCCCAUGUUGACCCCUGCUUUGAGGUGGCAGAGUUAACACUACUCUUCGUUAUAAGCUCUCGUCUGGGGCAACUCAGAAGAACCUCAGCAAGGCCCACAUUUUCCCGGUGAAGCCACAGAACCACAGGGAGAAACCCAUGGACUUCGCCUCUCUCUCUAGGGGACCAGAUGUGCAGAGGUAAUGAAUACCAGGGAAUCAGGAAACCACUGGAUCAGUUCUUUGAGCCACAGAACAACACUCAUCCCAGCAGCUGGGAAGCUAUCUGCAAAAGUCCAUCUGCAGAAAGGGCUUCCUGGUCUUGCGUGUGGCUGGGCCAUUUCUCUGGAUGCAGGUUUUUCAUUAUACAGUCUUCUCAAAGAACCACCUGCUCUCAACACC
RNAcentral lists this long non-coding RNA (765 nucleotides) under Homo sapiens (human). Its description in RNAcentral is "PCBP1 antisense RNA 1". The record is from RNAcentral. Lineage: Eukaryota; Metazoa; Chordata; Mammalia; Primates; Hominidae.